This is a long non-coding RNA of Oncorhynchus tshawytscha (Chinook salmon), 1419 nucleotides long. NCBI's taxonomy places the organism in Eukaryota, Metazoa, Chordata, Actinopteri, Salmoniformes, Salmonidae. The record is from Ensembl.
GCUCAUACAUAGCAGCUAGCCAGUUCAUGCCGGUGGCUGGUGAAGACUAAUUUUAGCGAGAAACCCAGACUGUGUUUUACAUUCUAACAAGCGAUGUUAGUAUGCUUAAACGAUAUCCGUUUUCUCAAAGAGGGCAAUGUUUGCUAACCUGGUCAUUCAAACCUACUGCUAAUGUAAAUAUUCACCUUACCCAAACACCGAUCAUUCUUGUGACGGUGCGUCAGAAUAAAAUUCCCGAAUGGAAACUGGAGCUAGAGUUUAGAGUUCUGGUUGUGAAACACGGAACAAAGAAAUCUGAGAAUGAAAAUCCAGAGUGGUGAGGAAUCAAGUGGUAGAAGACUUCACUGACCUCUUAAUAUAACCUCUAUGACUGCAACAGGGUUCCGUGGUAAUGGCCUGGUCACGGCACCUUGACAUGUGGCAGCAACUGAGGGAUCAGGGGUCACAAAUGCAGUCCUACUGGUGAGGAAAGGGUUCCAGCAGUGACUGACAGGAGAGGAGGGCUCAUUGGUUCCCAUAUAGAGCAAUACUGCUGCAUCUCCUCUCCUGCUCCAGCAGAUGUGGAUCCCCAUGGUGACAGGAGAAGAACACCAGAGACACUGCAGAUGGAUGAGUUACACAUCACAAAGAGGAGGAGACAGAAUGACAGACUGCAGGCGCCAUCUGGGAGCGAGAUGUGCAUUACAGGAGCUAUCCAUAUGGUCGGGGCAUCAUGACUUUGCUCAUCUCAUCUCCCGUCAACAUCUCUUCUGCUCAAGUCCUCUCUCAAAUGAUCCACAUACACAUUCUAAACAGAAAGACAAAAACAUGCUCGUGUUUAUAGAUUUUUGCAGAGAUUAUACAAAUUUACACAUAACAGUCGGUAUUAGAUUAAAAUGUUAAACUCAUGUCUUCAAUACUCUUAAAAUGUACAUUUCCUCAUGAAUCGGGUGCUAUAGAUUAAGACUCUUCAUACAAUCUGAUUAUAGUACAUUUAUUAUAAUACAGAAAAUGAUUUGCCACCUCCAUAUCAUCCCCACCCCCAGACGUUGUUCAGUGUCGGGAGCUGGGGGCUUUUUUAAACCCAUCUGCUGUCUCGCACCUUCUAAUCUGCCCCCCCCCAGAACCCAAUGGCAUCGUACUCCUCAUCCUGUCCCCAUCCUACCCACUCAUCACCCAGUGCAUAAUAUAUUCCCCCUGUAACCAAAUACUACAGCUCACAUUGUAUUAAGCCACGUUGCAUAUGCUUAUAACACACACAGUGAUGUUUACAGACCUGUCAUCUGGAAUGUACUGUAGGCUAGAUGUAAGAUAAGUGUAUCUAUGUAUAUUUAGAAAUAAACAGUGUCAAUAUUAAAUCUCUGUGUGUUUGCUAAUUAUGACAAAUUCUUAUUCUACUCAAAAUCAACACUUAUUCGUCGCAAUUACUUUUUUUAUUGU